GAUUUGGAUUUUUAUUUGAUGCUGAAUAAUAUUUUCUUCAUGUCAGGUUUUGAUUCAUUUGAAUGAAGUAUACUUUAGUCGUUUAGUUUUACUUUGAUGCUAUAAUAGAUGUUUUUAAAAUUCAGUUAAAUUCAAGAUUAUAUAGCAUCACGGCAAAACAACAGUCUCCUCAUGGUGCUUUAUACUGUAGGGUGAAAACCACUCCAGGCCUCGAGAGCUGAUGUCCUGCAGGUUUUAGAUAACACCCUCGGUCAACACACCUGAAUCAAAUGAUCACUUCAUUACCAGGCCUCUGAAGAACUUCAAGAAAUGUUGAGGAGGUAAUGUAGCCAUUUACAUCAGCUGUGAUGGAUCAAGGACACAUCUAAAACCUGCAGGACACCGGCUCUUGAGGCCUGGAGUUGGCCACCCCUGUCCUACCAAGAAAAAACCCAACAAUCAAAAGAUCCCCUUUGAGCAAGCACUUGGCGACAGUGGGGAGGAAAAACUCCCUUUAAUAGGAAGAAACCUCCAGCAGAACCCGGCUCAAGAAGGGGCGGCCAUCUGCUGUGGCCGGUUGGGGGGGUGAAAAGAAAAUAUAGGGAGACAAGAUGAAGUAUACUUCUGAUGGCCAAAUGCUUCAAGAUCUUUAAAGAAGCAUGCUAGUGGGGAAAAAAGUCAAGAUGGUCAUUUAGUCAUCACUGCUGCCCUUAAAGCAGCAGCUGAACGGCUUCAUUAAAGCUUUUCCCACUGCUCGAAAGAACCUAGCAAUUUUAGACUUCAUUGGGGGAUUGAGUACAACCUCAAUAAUGAUUUCCAGAUGAGCCAGAAAAAGCUGAGCAAAUGUUGAAUCAUCUGGUGUAAGAGCAGAAUGUACGAACUGAUCUAAAGAGCCAAGCUCCUUUCUAAGGGCUUUAGUCAUUUUCUUUACAAUCUGAAGUUUGUUAUUUUCAAGAGCACUCAGAUAUUCUGAGCUUCUGACGUUAUCUAAAACCAGAUGUGUAAGACGCCUGGUGAUGGCCUUUCUUUUUUCUGUAUUCACUGUCUUUCUUGUGUCAAAACUGCAUUUCUCGAGGAGACUCGGUAACAGAACGGCGCUGAAGUCUUUGGCAAUUUUCUCAGCAGCAAAAGGUGAUAUAAAAAAUUCUGAAGGUUCCUCCUGUAAGUUUUUAGAGAUUGAUGGCUGACUUUGACCUUCUGUAGGCCCAGUGUCAGCGACUGGCUCAGGCUCAGGGCUUUUUUCUGGAGGUAGGUCCUGCUCUAUUACACUCACACAGGAGAUGGGUUGAUUUUUGUGAGGAGAAACUGGACUUGACUCUGGUUCAGACAGUCUGUCGCGUUCUCUUUGCUCUGUUGGGGUUAGUGCUCGUAAAAUCACAUCCUGGAUGUCUUCCACGGCACCAGAAACUUUGUCACUUUGGACAGUUUCAUCCAAAGCAUCAUUCUCUAACCACAGAAGAAUGUUUUGCAAAAACUUUUGCACUGAGUCUUCUACAAUUACAUAGAGGACUUCGGGCGAAAAGGGUAACUCACCUGUUGGCUCUGGAGACCUAGAAAUCACAGAGUCUGAAAGACUUCUUCCCAGUAGCAUCACAGGGAGUGAAUAUCUUUGAGUUGACUGGAGAUGGUCAUAAAUUUUAUCUGUCAACUCCCUGCAAAACGUCUCAACUUCAACAAAUGCAUUUACGUUUUCCAUGGGUUUCUGGAUAAGGUUAACGUGUUUUGUCCGUUUUAAUUUAUUAAACAGUUGAUCAAGAUAAGGGUUGAAAGUGGUAAAAUCAACUGAGGAAGAACUUUUAAACCUGGUAUGCAUAGUUGGUGUGUUUACAUAGCUACAGAAAGAACUGUAGCUGUCCAUAGAAUCUGUUCUCUGAUUAUCAGGUGACUUGACCGGAUCUUGGAGACAGAUGAAGAACCUUUUGUUUUUCUUCACCAGGUGUUUUAUCUCUCUUAUCAUUUUAUAAAACUGCUUUUUGGCAAAGCUGCAGAAGUGGUCUUUGUGCAGCUUUUGUUCAUUGGUUUUUAGGGGUGGGAUGCAUGAGGCAAAAAAGUUUUUCACCUUCUGGAUAAUUAUCUGCACAUUAAAAGGUUUGCAUGAGCCACAUUUGUUACUAGAUGUGACAUCUUCACCAUCAGAAGACUGCAGAUUAUCAAUUACUGUGUUUACAAUAUCAGCUGCAGCUAUUUCUGCUGGCGUGCUGGGAGGCUGCAGACUUUCAGCAGCCACAGCAUCUGUGCACUUCAGAUUGUCAAGUAUUUUAUUGACAGCAUCGGCUGCGAUCACUUUGGUUAGACUUUCCAUUUUGUCCUCAGUGAUUGCUGCAUCUGUGCUCCAUUUGGUGAGAGCAAUGCUGACCUCAUCAAGUGUCACCCUCUCACGGAUCUUUGAUUUAGUACUCUCUGCACUUGAAUCAGAGGGACUAGGGACCUUUCGCAUGCACAGGCAGCUUAGCUUACCUGCACAUCUCUUCAGAUACGAGGCUGCAUGAGAGACCAUGCGUCGAAGGUUUUUUAUGCAUGUAAUUUUUCCGCUGACAUAAACAGCGGGAUCUGACCGUAAAUCCGGGUUGUUUAAAAGUAGAGUCACAGCCGAGUUGACCUUUUCUGAAAUCUCCAUUUCAAUCAGUUUUGUCAGCGUCUUAAUGGACUCAUACUUGUCAUGGGGGAUGUUAAGAGAGAUGGCAAUGCUCAUUGAGAGAGAGUGUCCCAGCGACGGAGCUAUUUUUACCACAGGUAGGUUAAUAUCUGUUUGGGACCCAUGUGUCAUAAACUUCUGAAAUACGGGAAGUGCCGAGUUCAGGAUGCCAGUAGAAACUGUCUGAAUUAUUUCAGUUAUCAUGUCAGCCAGUGCUGCUUGGAGAUCAGGGUCCCAGACUCCAUGUUCAAUCAUCCCCCAUUGUACUCGGGAGAACCGAUUGAAACACUCGCUGACAGCAGGUAAGAUAUUCUCUGGAGUAAUGAGGACAGAGACUACAGUCUGAAAUUCAGCCAUUGUGGACUCUCUGGAUUUUUCCUCAUUGUCUUUGAGUUUGCACUGCAUGUCUCUUUGCUUUAUGUCUUGUUCUUCCUUCUGUUGAAGGAUUUCUCUAUUUUUUUCCAGCACUUUGUAGAGGUUUUCUUGGAGCUCCUCAUUAAUUUUGUCUUUGUGUUCGAGCUUUUCUUUUAACUCGUCUAUAGUAGCACUAUCUGCAUCAAACUGAUCGGACAGUUGUUGUAAAAGUAAGAUCUGUUCCUUGUCGUUUUUUCUCAGGGAAUAAAUCUCAUUUCGGGCUUCAUCAAACCUGAUUCCCCAGCCUUCAUUAAUGAUCUCUAUGUCAGGCUGGCGUUUAAUUUGUGCUUCCAUUUCUAUGCACUUCUCCUGUAGUCGAAGUAUCUCUUCUUCAGCUCGUUUAAGUUUGUUUUGUAGAUCGUAUUUUUCCUUCCUCCUUUUCUCUAAUGCCCUUCGGAUGUUUAAGAUUCUUCUUUUAUUCUUUAUUCUUUUUGGGAUUUUUACAACUUUUUUUAUUUGAUUGACAGAGCGAAGAGAGGACAGGGAUGCGUUUUGUCGUUUUUGUGGAUUCAUGGCUGUAUACACUACAGUGACUUUGAACAGGUUUUCAAAUGUUUCUCUGGUGAACGUUUGAAUGCUGUGAAAACACUGAGUAAAAAUUGCUGCUUCUCGGUCCUAUUUAAGGAAAAACUUCAAAGGAUCUUAAAUAAGAUUCUAAAUUUGACUUUAUGACAUCAUCACUCUAAACCAAGGAGUGAUGAUGUCAUAAAGAAAAGGUCACAUGACAUUUUGCCUGGGCGGUGCCUAAAGGCCGUCCGCUGUAAGUGUUUAAACCAACAGUCAUUGGUUUAAACCUUUCCAAAAGGUUGAUUCUGUUUUCAGUGAUAGAAACGUUUCGUCACUCAUCCAAGGGACUUCAGUCUCAGCUGACUGCAGGUUUCCCCCAACCUUAUAAACGGUACACUUGCACAAUAACUGAAACCAGCCCAGUGAAUGAACAGUGAGGUCAGUUCCUUGAUUAUUAGUAUGCAAAGCAAGACAUGUUUGAACAUUAAAUGUCCUCGUGUUCGGAGCAGCCUAAUGGAUGCGCUGAAGGAUUAAGGACAUACAGAGGUCAGCAGCGGAUAGUGAGGACAGCAGAGAGGAUCAUUGGAGGCCCUCUCCUGCCCAUCUCCCAACUCUACGACAAACACAUCAUCCGACGUGUGAAGGACACUUUCCACCCCUCACAUGCACUGUUCAUCUGGCAGAUGGUUUCACAGCAUCAAAACCGUAACGGCCAGACACUGCAAGAGCUUCCUCCCACAAGCAGUCAGAGCACUCAACUCACUACCACCAAAUGACUAUAUGUGUGUGUGUGUGUGUGUGUGUGUGUGUGUAUACAUAUAUAAAAAAAAACACCCAGCACGCCCCUGCGGGCGGUUUAUCCUUCAAGCUCGGGUCCUCUACCAGAGGCCUGGGAGCUUGAGGGUCCUGCGCAGUAUCUUAGCUGUUCCCAGGACUGCGCUCUUCUGGACAGAGAUCUCCGAUGUUGUUCCCGGGAUCUGCUGGAGCCACUCGCCUAGCUUGGGAGUCACCGCACCUAGUGCUCCGAUUACCACGGGGACCACCGUUACCUUCACCCUCC
Molecule: long non-coding RNA, 4595 nt
Organism: Oreochromis aureus
Lineage: Eukaryota; Metazoa; Chordata; Actinopteri; Cichliformes; Cichlidae
Source: Ensembl